UGAACACAUAAAAAAUGAACACAUAAAUAUAUACAAACAAUUAGUCAUAAAUGAAUUGAAAAGUAUGUUUUAUAAAAAGCAAAAGGAUGCAACAGUAUUACAUGAUCAACCAAUUUCAAACGAACUGCAGUGGGUAAACAGUAAAAAUGAUGUAUUAAAUAACGAGUUGGGUGAUUCAAAUGAACAGCAAAACAAGGAGCAAAACAAAAAGAAGUAUAGCAUAACACGCCCGAAUGACAACAAUGAAAUCCAGCUGAAUACGUUCAAAAGCGAAACAGAUAAAAUAAGAUUCCUAUUAACCUGCUGUUUUAUAAGCAAAGAAUAUUAUUUUUCAAUUUAUUUUUAUAAUUUAGCAAACCUGAUCAAAUUUUUGUUUGAAUAUCGGAGGCACUUCUACCAAGAGGAAAAUGAAAACGACGAUGUUGAUGCGAAUUUUAAUGCUAGUGGUAGUAAUGAUAAAAAAAAAAAUAAACAUCAUAACAAACAUGUGAAAAAAAACACCAAUAUUGUUAAAUAUUUAUCAUUGCAAACGAAUAUUAUGAAAUUGACUUAUAAAAAAAGUGGUACACAAAUAAGUAGGAAAAAAAAAAAAAAAAAAAAAAAAAAANNNNNNNNNNNNNNNNNNNNNNNNNNNNNNNNNNNNNNNNNNNNNNNNNNNNNNNNNNNNNNNNNNNNNNNNNNNNNNNNNNNNNNNNNNNNNNNNNNNNAAAAAAAAAAAAAAAAAAAAAAAAAAAAAAAAAAAAUGGAAAAAGUUGAAACAAAUGGAAAAAUAGAAAUAGGAGAAAAAAAUGAAACAAAUGCAAAAGUGAUUGUUCUACAUAGUUCUUCUUCCUUAUCUCCAUCUUCAUCUGCUUCUUCUUCUUCUUCUUCUUCUUCUACUUCUUCUUCUUGUUCCGCCUCUUCGUUUUCUUCUAUUUCUACUUCUACUUCUUUGUCCAGUCCGUCAUCCGAUUCGUCAAUCGUUUCUUCUGCAUUUACUGAUGCGUCAAAAUACAGGUAUAAAAAUAGAAGUUGUUUAUAUAAUGAUUUUUGUAUUAACACCUGUAAUAUAUUUAAAUUAUCUUUUUUGAUUUUGAAAAAUAUUUUAAAUAAUAACCACAGUUAUUUUUUACAUGACCCAAUGAAACUGAGAAAAAUAAAUUUAUUUCUUUUUUUUUUAAGUUAUUUAGAAGAAAAAAAAUAUGAAAAGAGUAUAGACAAGACAGAAGAUGUUUAUGAAAUACAAAUAAUAAAAAAAAAAAGUGUCUAUCAUAAUUUUCCUAUUUAUUAUUUAAAUAUUUUUUUAAAACAUAAUAAUAUUAAAAAAAAGAAAUUGUUGUUACUUAUUAAUAUUAUGAACAAAAUUAUUCAUUUGUGUUCACGAAAACAUAAUAACGUUGCUUUAGUGAAUAAAUUAUUGUUAUCUAUUUUGUUUUACGAAAAUAAAAUGUAUAAAAAAUCAUUUAAAUUAUUGAAAAGAAUUAUAAAAAAUUGUACUUAUGAUUAUAUUAUUUUAUUAUGUAUGCAAUUGUUAUUAUUCUACGAACAAAAUAAUCAAUUUUAUAAAUUUGUUAGUUCGUUUUUUUUAGCAAAUAAAUAUGUACAAGUCGUAUCAUUUAAAUAUAUAAAUAUAAUUUUUACUGCGUUUCAAAACUAUCAAAACUAUUUAUUUUCUAUGGAUAACCCUUUAUCGAUUUUGAAUUUAGAAAAGAACAUAAUAUAUGACGCAGAUUUUUAUAACGCCUUAAAUUGUGAUGUUGUUGUAUUAUCACAUAAUUCUAUAAAAAAAAGGGUAGCCAAUGUAGUUAUUCAACACCUUGAAACAGCGCAUGUCUCUGCAGUACCUGUACAGAUAAAUUCUAGUUCUGACAUAAAAAAGGAGUUUGGUAAUAACAAAAUAGAUGGCACUAGUAACGAAACAUAUUGUUAUGAUGACAAAAAACAACAACGGGUGAGUAACAAAGAAGAGUGCAAUAACAGCAAAAGUGCGAACACAAAUUCAAAUCUGAAAAUGCUCCAAAUAAAUAAGAAUAAAUUAAUCAAACAAGAAAUAAAAAAAUAUUGUAAAUAUAAUUACUAUUUCGAAAUAAAUAGAUAUUUUUUAAAAAGUUUAAGACGGUUUGAUAUUUCUAUUACGAAAAAUGAAAAAAAAAAUCCUUUAUAUAUACCUGAACCAAGUAUUAAAGUGUUAGUAAAAAGCAAUUAUAAUCUUUAUAUAUUUAUUUCGAGUAUGCUUUUUGGAAAUGAUAAACAGGAAAACGAAAUGAUCAACAAUCAGUUUCAUUUAUCAUUAAAAAAAAAAAAUCAAACAGCCAUGAACAAAAAUGAUAAUGAUCUUCUUCAUAGUUCUACAUAUAGCGAUAAGCAAACAGAUGGAUAUAAUGAAGGUAAAGGAGAGUGCGGGGAAGGGAAUACAUGCAGAUAUAAUGGAUACCAUAGCAAAGACAGUGACCCCAUUAUGAAUCACAUAGAAACAUUGUUAAGUCGCAAAAUAAAAGAAUAUAUUAAUAAAAAUUAUAAAAAAAAAAAACGUGUACGGGUUAGGAAAUUGUGUAUACAUUAUGAUGAAAAUUUAGAUUUAUUUGUUUAUUCUGCUCUUAGUAAAGAUUUAAUCAUUCAUAAUAUAAUUAUUCAAAUGUACAACAAAAAAGAAAAUAAAAAUUUGCAUCUUAAAUUUAGUAAGGGUAUAUAUAAAAUAAAGCCUGGGUUAAAUUUAAUAAAACUUAAUAUUGUUGAUAUUCUUGAAAAUAGUGAAAUAAAUUGGCAAUAUUUUUAUUAUAAAAUAAAAUAUAUUUUUUUAGUAGCUAAUAAUUUUUGUUUUUAUCAAAAAAUAGGUAUAUUACCAUAUAAACAAAUAUUAAAUGUUUUUUUAAAUGCUUAUAGUAAUUUUAUAAUACAUAAUUCUAUAGUAAUUGAUACAAAAAAACAUGCCAGUUUUUUUUUUAAUCAACUUAUUGUUCCGAUUUAUAUUAAAAUAAAAACAUUAAAUUCGAUAUUCAAUUGUACGAUUAAGCCUUCUCUUCUUAACUCAACUUGUUUAUUAUAUAAUAAUGUUAAUUAUAUUGAACUCACAAUAAAAAAAAAUCCUAAAUAUUUUAUUUUUACCAAGUUAAAACCUGAAUUGAUGAGUACGAACAAAAUGGACACAAAAAUUUUUGUCAAAGUUGAAAAUGAUUUAUUUUGCAACAAUGCAAAAUGUGUCGAUGCAUAUACAGCUGCUAGUGGUGGUAGCGAAAACAACGACACUCGCACUUGUACAUACAUGUUUAAUAAAAAUUUCGACACUUUAAUAGAUUCCAUAUUCUUUUACUUUGAAAAAAGCGAUGAUAUUAAAAUAGAUCAAGUAGUAGCUUUAAAUGAAAAAGAAAUUGGCUAUAUACACAACGAAACUAAUAAUACUAGCUUUUCUUUGGUAAGUAAACAUACUAAUGAAAAUGAGAGAUAUAAUUUGAAUAUAAAACCUAUUGAAAUGAAUGAUAUAGAUGAAACAAACUCACAUGAAUUGUUAAAAAAUGUUCAUGUAAUUAUAUCGUUUUUGUUAAAAAAAAUAAAUGAUAAAAUGGAAGGUAAAGUGGGUAACGAACAAUAUAAGAAAAGUUGCAACUACUACAAUACGUAUUCUCAAGAUGAUUGUAACAAAAUAAAAAUAAAAUGUGUAAUUAAUAUGAAUCUACACAAUAAACAAAGAAAAAAAAGAAGAACCGAUUUAUUUAUACUAUCACAAGUUAAUUAUGUAGGGAAUAUGAAGUUUGUUAAUUUUAUUACCAACCCAUCUGAACAAAAAACAAACCACUUUUUAAAUAAUCAGAUAAUAAUAGAAAAAGAAUUUAAUGUGAUAAAUAUUUUUAAAGAAAAAAUAAAUACAUACAGAUCAAAUAAUGGAAUGUUAUAUGAAUUGAUAUUAAAAUUACAUUAUGAUAAUUAUUCAAUAUUUUUAAACAAAAUUUAUAUAUCUAUUUUAAAACAGUGUAUCUCACAAAUAAAAAAUGUUAAAAUUUUUGCUGUAAAUAAUAAUGAAGAAAAAGAAGAAAAUCAAAAAACAAAUUUUGUUAAAAAUGAAACAGACUAUUUGCUUUAUGGAACACAAUGUGAUGUGUAUGAAACAGGGGUUGAUGAUAAUGACGAUGUUGAGGUUAAUAUAGUACGUAAAACUGACACAAGUGUAUUAAAUGUGUCGGACAAAAAGGCGUUAGUAAACGACUUAACAAAGCUGAAUGAUGAUGCUAACGAUUCUUAUAAAAAGCAAAACGAUUUAUCAAAUAUGCUUUGUAAAAGCGAAAUAGAAAAAAAUAAUAUAUGUUUUCCUAUUGCAAAUGAAAUGGACAAGUCAAACGGCUAUAAUAUAAGCGAUAUAAAAUAUGUCCAUAUGUUUGAUAAGAGAAAAAAUGAGAACACUAUUAAUAAAUGUAAUGUACGUAACGAAGAAAAGUAUAUUUAUAACGAAGUUAAUAUUAAUAGUUGGAUUAAAAGUGGGGCUAACUUUUUUUUACUUUUUGAAAUUGAAUAUAAUGAUUUAUUUCAAAAAGAUGAACAAACAACUAGCUUUAAGUUACUAAAUUAUGAAAACACAUUUGCAAAUAUAAACAUAACUUAUGAAUAUAAAAAUGGGAACAUGUUGAAUUUGUAUAAAGAAAAAGAGAAAGGGAGAGAACUAGAAAAUGUAAAAGCAAGUACAAAAACAAAUGAAAAUGAAUAUACAUACAUUCAUAAUCUUUUAGUACCCGUACCUCAGUUUUUACUACCUAUAAAUGUACACUAUGAUAUACCAAAACAUGGGCUUCUUCAUUCAACUAUUAGUAUAAAAAUAAAAAUAACAAAUUGUAUUAAUGAAAAUAU
RNAcentral lists this long non-coding RNA (4815 nucleotides) under Piliocolobus tephrosceles (Ugandan red Colobus). RNAcentral's name for it is "lncRNA (ENSPTEG00000009688.1)". Lineage: Eukaryota; Metazoa; Chordata; Mammalia; Primates; Cercopithecidae. The record is from RNAcentral.